GAUGAAGAACGUAGCGAAAUGCGAUAAGUAAUGUGAAUUGCAGAAUUCAGUGAAUCAUCGAAUCUUUGAACGCACAUUGCGCCCUCUGGUAUUCCGGGGGGCAUGCCUGUUCGAGCGUCAUUAUAACCACUCAAGCUCUCGCUUGGUAUUGGGGUUCGCGGUUUCGCGGCCCCUAAAAUCAGUGGCGGUGCCUGUCGGCUCUACGCGUAGUAAUACUCCUCGCGAUUGAGUCCGGUAGGUCUACUUGCCAGCAACCCCUAAUUUUUUUCAGGUUGACCUCGGAUCAGGUAGGGAUACCCGCUGAACUUAAGCAUAUCAAUAAGCGGAGGA
RNAcentral lists this unclassified non-coding RNA (330 nucleotides) under soil metagenome. RNAcentral's name for it is "partial contains 5.8S ribosomal RNA, internal transcribed spacer 2, and large subunit ribosomal RNA". The stretch from base 1 to 120 matches the Rfam family "5.8S ribosomal RNA", at positions 35 to 154 of the family's 154-position model. The record is from RNAcentral.